Molecule: ribosomal RNA, 1566 nt
Filed under: Triticum aestivum (bread wheat)
Lineage: Eukaryota; Viridiplantae; Streptophyta; Magnoliopsida; Poales; Poaceae
Description: partial small subunit ribosomal RNA
Source: RNAcentral
AUGUGGGAAGAUUUUGAAGAUGUCAAGCAAAGAUUCCCACGUGCAGCGGCUUGGGGGCAAUCUGUAUCUCAACAGGAGGGGAUUUUCAGCAGCAAGACAGAGUCUGUCAACAGCAAGACAAAGUCAAGGCGGGAACAGCCAAGAGUUACCAGCAACAGGCCGGGUCGCAAGCCUCGCCUCCCUGCUCGGCUAACGGGCCCCGAAUGGGCCUUAGGCCACGAUAGGAUAGCGUGGGCAGCUGGUCUUCCUCCUCCUUCCCCAUUCCCGAGACCCUCGUCCUGUAGCCCCCUCGUCCAUGAGCUCCACGAGAAGAGGAGCUCCUCUUCGUCGUCCCCACAGCAAUCGCUCGACCUCGCCACUAUCGUCUGCUCUGGUGAGCCUUGUCACUGUCGACGGCCGAAGCCAGGACCCGUCGCUGCUCUUCCCUUCUUCCCCUGGUUCUUCUCGUUGACCCAUGCCUCUCCGUGUAAUCUCCCUCUCUCAUCGUUUUCACAGAAGAAGCCCCGUCUGCCCCAUGGACGCCCUGCUUCGCCGGAUCCGUCCAUUCCCCUCGUCCCGCGCCCCGGAUUCGGUCGAUCCGAGCUUCCCCAUGCCCAAGACCUCGCCAACCCUUCGCUCUGCUCCCGGUCACCGGCGCCCUGCUCGCCUCCUCUGCUUCGCCCCUGCACGAGCAGGAUGGCCCUGCCCUGCUUCGCGUCCGUCCAGAUCCGGCGCUGGCCCGCCGUCUUCGACCUCCAUCUGCGUGCCCGCAAGCUCGCCGCCGCCAGCGUCCUCGCCAAGACCUGCCGCUGUCGCGCCUUGCUUCAGUCAUUACCCUCGCUGGGUAAUUGGAGACUAGGAUCAGUCACUAAUUUACUAUAUCAACAAAAACUGAAGCAGUCCACAACCAAGAACCAAGUACCAGGCCACAACCAAGAAGCGGAGCCUGUGGGGACAUGUUUCACCUGUGCUUGGAGCGGCUUGAGGAAGGAGCUGGACGACAAGCGGGACGACGAGCUAGAAGGCGAGCAGGACGCCGAGCUAGAUGCUGAGAGGGACGCCGAUCCAAUGGGUCAAUCAGUGCCGGCUCUACUGGACCAAUUCCUACACGUGGCCGACCCGUUGAAAUCUGGAAUAAUGGAGCGCACCAGGUCGAAUGUGGCGUGGUGGUUGACAUGGCAAACCCUAUUUAGGGCUGCAGGCGCCCGUUACAGGUGCGCAGCAGUCCACUUCCACUCGCCAACCCACCAGAUCUGCGUCUGUAUUACGUCGCACCCACCUGCCCCACGCCGGCGGCAUCACCGACACGAAACAGCGGCCAUUUUUAGCUUUGCCAAGAGGAGCUUCUGGCUUAUAGCCCCCACCCCACUCCACUUCUCAGUUUGCACAGCAGAGCAACCGGAGAGAGAGAGAGAGAGAGCAAUGUCGUCCAUCAUCGUGCAGGUGUCCGCCUUCGUCCUUAACCUCAUCGCCUUCGGCCUCGCCGUCGCCGCCGAGCAGCGCCGCAACAAGGCCACGGUGACGCCGGACCUGGCCAAGGAAGUCGACUGCCUUCUGAACUGGGUGCCAACUGGCGGCCUAAUUUAG